AAGAUCCUGCUGUGUGCGUGAAGUGAGUUAAUAUUGAGCCAACAUAUUUUUGAACGGGAAUCUAACUCUUUUAGUGGAAUGAUGCUUAGGUUAAACUUAGUCAUUAAUAAAUAUAUUAAGGUUAAGUUUAUAUACUUGAGAACAAGAAGCAAAAAGGUGAUGCCCACCUGCUUAGUCAGGUUCAACAAUAACUCACAUAACGGCAUGGCGGGAUUUUU
RNAcentral lists this non-coding RNA (218 nucleotides) under Clostridium sp. HMP27. RNAcentral's name for it is "6S / SsrS RNA". It matches the Rfam family "6S / SsrS RNA". From Rfam's summary of the family: E. coli 6S RNA was the first non coding RNA to be sequenced, but its function was unknown until recently. It consists of 184 nucleotides that fold into an extended hairpin structure with a large single-stranded internal bulge. Lineage: Bacteria; Bacillati; Bacillota; Clostridia; Eubacteriales; Clostridiaceae. The record is from Rfam by way of RNAcentral.